Molecule: ribosomal RNA, 237 nt
Filed under: uncultured bacterium
Lineage: Bacteria
Description: partial 16S ribosomal RNA
Rfam family: Bacterial small subunit ribosomal RNA
Source: RNAcentral
CGCCCCGCAAGGGGAGUGGCAGACGGGUGAGUAACGCGUGGGAACGUGCCCUAAGGUACGGAACAACUCCGGGAAACUGGAGCUAAUACCGUAUGUGCCCGAGAGAGGAAAGAUUUAUCGCCUUGGGAUCGGCCCGCGUCUGAUUAGCUAGUUGGUAGGGUAACGGCCUACCAAGGCUACGAUCAGUAGCUGGUCUGAGAGGAUGACCAGCCACACUGGGACUGAGACACGGCCCAG